Molecule: ribosomal RNA, 253 nt
Filed under: uncultured bacterium
Lineage: Bacteria
Description: partial 16S ribosomal RNA
Rfam family: Bacterial small subunit ribosomal RNA
Source: RNAcentral
UACAGGGGGGGCAAGCGUUGUUCGGAAUUACUGGGCGUAAAGGGCUCGUAGGCGGCCAACUAAGUCCGACGUGAAAUCCCAAGGCUUAACCUUGGAACUGCGUCGGAUACUGGAUGGCUUGAAUUCGGGAGAGGGAUGCAGAAUUCCAGGUGUAGCGGUGAAAUGCGUAGAUAUCUGGAGGAAUACCGGUGGCGAAGGCGGCAUCCUGGACCGACAUUGACGCUGAUGAGCGAAAGCUAGGGGAGCAAACGGG